UGCUGCCCCAAUGGCCCCUAA
Molecule: unclassified non-coding RNA, 21 nt
Filed under: Mus musculus (house mouse)
Lineage: Eukaryota; Metazoa; Chordata; Mammalia; Rodentia; Muridae
Description: oocyte_clustered_small_RNA4808
Source: RNAcentral